AGAGUUUGAUCCUGGCUCAGAACGAACGCUGGCGGCGUGGAUUACACAUGCAAGUCGAACGCGAAAGGGGGCAACCCCGAGUAGAGUGGCGAACGGGUGAGCAAUACAUCGGAACGUGUCCUGUAGCGGGGGACAACCUCGAGAAAUCGAGGCUAAUACCGCAUACGAUCUACGGAUGAAAGUGGGGGACCGCAAGGCCCCACACUAUAGGAGCGGCCGAUGCCGGAUUAGCUAGUUGGUGGGGUAAAAGCCUACCAAGGCGACGAUCCGUAGCUGGUUUGAGAGAACGACCAGCCACACUGGGACUGAGACACGGCCCAGACUCCUACGGGAGGCAGCAGUGGGGAAUUUUGGACAAUGGGCGCAAGCCUGAUCCAGCCAUGCCGCGUGAGUGAAGAAGGCCUUCGGGUUGUAAAGCUCUUUCGGCCGGGACGAAAUGGCGCGGGGUAACAUCCCGCGUCGAUGACGGUACCGGAAGAAGAAGGACCGGCUAACUACGUGCCAGCAGCCGCGGUAAUACGUAGGGUCCAAGCGUUAAUCGGAAUUACUGGGCGUAAAGCGUGAGUAGGCGGUCUCGCAAGUCCGAUGUGAAAUCCCCGGGCUUAACCUGGGAACUGCGUUGGAAACUAUGAGACUAGAGUGCGGCAGAGGGGGGUGGAAUUCCAGGUGUAGCAGUGAAAUGCGUAGAUAUCUGGAGGAACACCGAUGGCGAAGGCAGCCCCCCUGGGUUAGCACUGACGCUCAUACACGAAAGCGUGGGGAGCAAACAGGAUUAGAUACCCUAGUAGUCC
RNAcentral lists this ribosomal RNA (791 nucleotides) under uncultured bacterium. RNAcentral describes it as "bacterial SSU rRNA". It matches the Rfam family "Bacterial small subunit ribosomal RNA", at positions 8 to 796 of the family's 1533-position model. The record is from RNAcentral.